GAUGAAGAACGUAGCAAAAUGCGAUACUUGGUGUGAAUUGCAGAAUCCCGUGAACCAUCGAGUUUUUGAACGCAAGUUGCGCCCGAAGCCUUUUGGCCGAGGGCACGUCUGCCUGGGCGUCACGCAUCGCGUCGCCCCCCACAAUUCUCCGUAAAGGGAACGUGUGUUUUGGGGGCGGAUAUUGGUCUCCCGUGCUCAUGGCGUGUUUGGCCGAAAUAGGAGUCCUUUCGAUGGACGCACGAACUAGUGGUGGUCGUAAAAACCCUCGUCUUUUGUUUCGUGCUGUUGCUCGCAAGGUAAACUCUUUAAAAACCCCAAUGUGUCGUCUCUUGACGACGCUUCGACCGCGACCCCAGGUCAGGCGGGACUACCCGCUGAGUUUAAGCAUAUCAAUAAGCGGAGGA
RNAcentral lists this unclassified non-coding RNA (404 nucleotides) under soil metagenome. Its description in RNAcentral is "partial contains 5.8S ribosomal RNA, internal transcribed spacer 2, and large subunit ribosomal RNA". The stretch from base 1 to 122 matches the Rfam family "5.8S ribosomal RNA", at positions 35 to 154 of the family's 154-position model. The record is from RNAcentral.